UUAAAAAAUAAAAGUAACUAAAUCCUAUUCAUACACUGGUACUAAAAGACAGGGCAACAAGAUCUUUAAAAGUUCAAUAAAGUUCAAAUAAAAAAAGACCUUAAUCCUUCUUUUUUAUUAUUUCAUGUUGUAUGUUGUUAGGCAUUAUCCUUACGAGACUUAAGGCUUUACUCUUUACUUCUCAUAAGAGAAUAUGAGAAUUCAAGAUUUGCAUUUGGGCCCUGUUGAUGCAAAUUUUUGUUCAAUGUAAGUGAUUGAUUUGUGUUUCAAACUUUAUUCUGAAUUAAGUUUUGUGGCUUAUUUUUUCUUUAAGGCAAGUGUCUCAAAUGUGGUUACUUAUUCUGCAAAAAGAAACAAUAUAAUUGUAAAAGGGGGGCCGGCAUGCCGGAAUAAUCCUCUGACACUUAAGUUAGUUCUUUUUACUCAACCUUUAGAAAGAGAAAAUCUAGAGUGAGAUAGACAGUGUUUUUAUACUCCUUUUUUUCUUACCUCUAAAUGAGGGUAUUGUCCUUUAUAUAGGCAUCUUAGAGUCAACUAGAGAGGUUAUGUGGCACUUUUCUUGUGACAAAUAUUAAUCAAAGCCUAUGUAUUGAGACACAUAUUCAUAUAUGUCGACACUUAUUUAUGGCAAGUAUUCUUGAUACACUUGUCACGUUUUUGGGCCCUUGACCUUUAAUGGGCUUGAGCUUGAAUUCGGAAUUUUUGUUAGUUCUUCACAAAAAGGAUUAAUUCUGCAAUAUUUUCCCAUAAGCUCAUUCCAUAAAAUGUUUGUUAGCCUCUAUGCUUAUUCCGUAGAAUGUUUGUUGGGUCGUAUGUGCAUUCUAUGCAAUGUACAUAUUUUCCCAUAGAUGCAUUGGUAGAAUGUAUAUUUUUCUAUAGGCGCAUUUCGUAAAAUGUGUAUUUGCCCAUAAGUCUAUUCCUUAGAUUGUGUAUUUGCUCGUAGGCCUAUUCUAUACAAUAUUUAUUGCCAAUAGGCUUAUUCCGUAGAAUAUAUAUUUACCUGUAGGAGCAGUCCAUAGAAUGUCUAUUUGCCUGUAAGUGCAUUCGGCAGAAUGUAUAUUUGCUCGUAGAUUCAUUCAGUAAAAUGUAUAUUUGCCCGUAGAUUUGGUAGAAUGUGUAUUUUCCUGUAGGCACAUUCUAUAAAAUGUAUAUUUGCCUGUAGGCACAUUCUAUAUAAUAUAUAUUUUCUUGUAAGCGCAAUUGAUAAAAUAUAUAUAUACCCGUAUGUGCAUUCCAUAAAAUGCUUAUUAGUUCAUAUGCACUUACUUAGAAAUAUUUUCUAAGUGUCUAGGUCAUUUUUUAAGAGGAAUGACCUAGGUCGUUCUUUGUAAAGAAUAGACGUAGGUCAUUCUUUGUAAAGAAUAGAACUAGAUCUUUUUUUGUUGAACCAUGGCUUUAGCGCUUUGUUGAAGACUUGUCCUUUAGGCGUUUUACUUAGAAAUAUUUUAAAUGUUGCAAUCAUUCUUUAUAAGGAAUAGACUUAGAUCGUUCUAUAUAAAAAGUAGACCUAGGUCAUUCAUUGUGAAUAAUGAACUUAAGUUAUUCUUUGAAAAAUUGCGUUGUUAGCACUUUGUUGAAGACUCGCUUGUUGGACAUUUUAUUUAGAAAUAUUUCCAAGUUUCUAAGCCAGUCUUUGUAAUGAAUAGACCUAGAUCAUUCUUUAUAAAAAGUAGAUUUAGGUCAUUAUUUGUAAAGAAUGGACCUAAGUCAUUCUUUGAAGAAUCAAGCCUUUGGCGCUUUAUCGAAGACUCUACCUUUGGGAGUUUUAUUUGUUUUAUUUAGAAAUAUUUUCUAAGUUCCUAGGUUCUUCUUUGUAUAGAAUGAAAAUAGGUUGUUCUUUGUAAAAAGUGGACCUAAGUCAUUCUUUGUAAAGAACAGGCCUAGAUCUUUCUUUGUAAAGAAUAAACCUAGAUCUUUCUUUGAUGAAUCACGCUUUGAAGGUUUUGUCAUAUCUUGCAUUUAGACACUUGGAACUUUAAGUACUUAGGUUGUUUUGAUAGAGAAUGGGCCUAAGUUAUUUCGUGUAAAAUAUUUUUAUUUGGGCAUGGGUUUAGGCCAUUCGUAAUUUGGUCUAAUAGAGGCUCCCAAGUCUUACUUUUCAAUUUGAAGAAGUGAGACUUUUUUCUUUAGUAUUUUUUAUUAGGCAAUUCUUGGGCCUUUCUUAUUAUGAAUUGAGUUUCAGAAUUUGAAAUUUCUCUAGAGCACUUAUCCCAUUAGAAUUGGUCUAUAACCAAUCUCACAUACUUCAUUCCAUACUUUAUAGAUAUCUAGAAUCUAUCUUAAUUUCACAAUUAUUGAAAAUCAUAAAGAUAAGAAGUUUGUAAAAGUACCUUUUUAAAAGGGACACUACUUUGCAGAUUGUAUGUGAGAAUUUUAUGAGAGUUCUUUGGUGAGCUACUGUCGAGGCUUUUUAAGUGCUCAACGAUUUAAGAAGUAACGUCAAAUCAUUUCACUAAAUGUCAUCCUUUGAAACUAAAUUGCUUCAAAAAUAAACAAGUUUAUAGAAAAUAACCCUAGUCAAUUUUUAUAAAUGCUUGCCCUUAGGCAUUUUAGUUGAGAUUCACCGGAGCUUCAAUUAUCACUCACUGUUAGGAAUUUUAGUCAACAUCUGCCUUUAAGAGCUAUAGUCAACCAUUACUCUUAAGCUUUUUGAUAUUAGCUUAAGAUGUAUUAGCCAACAUUCACUAUAAGGCGUUUUAUUCAAAACAUGCCUUUAGGUGUUUUAGACAAUCAUUUGACUCUUAUUGUUUCACUUAGAAUAUUUUCUAAACACCAAUUGCACCCAUGUUUUUUUAUCAUAAUUCAUUCGUAGGUGGUUCUCCUCAGAAGAUUUUACUAUGAAUUAGACUUAAUUCAUUCUUUACAAGAAUGGACUUAAGUGUUUUCUAUCAUAAUCAGCUCGUGGGCUCUUUCUUUAGAAAAUUAAUUCUAAGUAUUUGGACCUAGGUCAUUCUUGAAAGGAUCUUGGUCUUGUUAUCAUAAUUCGCCCGUGGGUUGUUUCAUAAAGCUUCACGCGUAGGCGCUUUCCUUAGAAGAUUUUUCUAAGAAUUGGAAUAGACCUAGGUCUUUUUAUUAUGUUUCGUCCACGGGUGAUUUCAUAGAACUUCACCCGUAGGCAUUCUACCUUGAAGAUUUUUCUAAGCAUUAGACAGAAUGGACCUAGGUCUUUCUAUUAUACUUCAUGUAUGAGUGGUUUUGUAGAACUUCACCCAUAGGUAUUCUUCUUAGAAUGAUUUUUCUAAAAAUUCGACCUAAGUCUUUUUAUUAUAAUUCGCCUGUGGGUAGUUUCAUAGAAAUUUGCCACAAGUUUUCUCCUUAGAAGAUUUUUCUAAGAAUUGCACCUAGGUCAUUUUUUAUAAAGCUACACUCUCGUCGUUUUGUCAAACACUCUCCUUUUUAGGCGUUUUACUUAGAAAUUUCUUCUAAGUACCUAGGCCGCUCUUGUAAGAUUUGACCUAGGUCAUUUUUUUUUAUUAAAGUUACGCCCUUAGCGUUUUGUUGAAGACUAGCCUUUUGAACGUUUUACUUAGAAAUUUCUUCUAUGUACCUAGAUCACUAUAGUAAGAAUUGACCUAGAUCGUUUUUAUUGUAAAGCUACCCCCUCGGCAUUUUGUCAAAGACUUGUCCAAAUGACAUUUUACUCAAAAAUUUAUUCUAAGCACCUAGGUCUUUAUAGUAAGGAUUGACCUAGAUCUCUUUUUUUUUUUUUUUAAGUUAAGCCCUCAGUGUUUUGUUGAAAACUCACGUUUUGGCGUUUUACUUAGAAAUGUUUUCUGGGUACCUAGGUCACUCUUGUAAUGAAUGGACCUAGGUCAUUUUUUUAUCUUCCUUAGCAUUUGUCGAAGACUCACUUAGGUCAUUCAUGUAUUAUAAAUCACGCCUUGGCGCUUUGUAGUUGACUUACCAUCUAGCAUCUCACUUAGAAUACUUUCUAAGUUGUUAGGUUAACUUUGUAAUGAAUGUACCUAGGUAAUUCAUGUAUAAUGAAUUAUGCCUUGGCGUUUAAUCUAAGGAUCGAGGUUACUUUUUUGAAAAUGGACCUAGGCCAUUCAUGUAUUAUUAAUUAUGCCUUGGUGUUUUGUCAUCGACUCGCCGUUUGGCGAAUCACUUAAAAUAUUGUUUAAACUCCUGGGUCACUUUUGUAAUGAAUGGACCAAGGUCAUUCAUGUAUUGUGAAUUACCCCUUGACAUUUUUUCGAUGACCUACCAUUUGUGCAUGUUAUGAUAAAUUUCUUCUAAGGAUUUAGGUCACUUCUGUGACAAUGGACCUAUGUCAUUCAUGUAUCGCGAAUUACUCCUUGGUGUUUUGUCGACGACUCGCUAUUUGGGCAUUUUAAUUAGACAUUUCUUCUAAGGACCUAAGUCACUUUUGUGAAGAUGGACCUAGGUUAUUCAUUUAUUGUGAAUUAUGCCUUGGUGUUUUGUCCACAGUUUCACAUUUAGGUAUUUUACUUAGAAAUUUCUUCUAAGGACCUAGGUCUUUCUGUGUAAAUGGACCUAGGUCAUUCAUAUAUAAUGAAUUAAGCCUUGGCAUUUUGUCCACGACUCACCAUUUAGGUGGUUCAAUGAGACAUGCUCAUACGCACUUUAUCAAGACAUUCUUUUUGGUUAAUGAAGCCAUUUGUUGGCAACCAGUAGAACAAGUAAAGAUCAAAAUUAAUUGUAAAUCUUUUUAUAGUUUAUGGCCAACCUCUCCUUUUGUCGUUGGAGUUAGAUUACUUGACUAAACUUUUCAUGUUCUGUAAAAAGAUUUGAGUUUUACUAUCGGGGUGCAAAUACAAUGCAACUAUUGAUCUAUUGCCUAACUUAACCCAUAAUCUUUUUCAUUAGAAAUGGAUCUCUUUAUCUGUUAAACUUCUAUCAUUAGCCACAAGGUCAUGGUAGUUGUAAUUAUCAUGCACGCCCAGGAUAAACCACUUUGGCUUUUUAUUCAAGUUCUCACAGACCGUGCCAACUAUUGAUGCAAAGUUUUGCUCAAUGUACAGUGAUUGAUUUGUGUUUUGGACUUUCUUUUGAAUCAAGUUUUGUGCCUUAUUUCUUCUCAAAACAAAUGUCUCAAAUCACGUGUCUCCAUGUGGUUAAUUGUUCUGCAAAAAGAAGCAAUUUUCAAAGGGGGGUCGGCGUGUCGGCAAUAACCCUUGAUACUCAAGUCAGUUAUUUUUACUCAACUUUUAGAGAGAAAAAGUCUAGAGUGAGGUGGGCAGUGUUUUUAUACUUAUUUUAUGCCCCUUUUUUUUCUUACCUUCAAAUAAAAGGUUUUGUCCUUUAUAUAGCCUCUUAGAGUCAAUUGAAAAGGUUAUAUGGGACUUUUCUUGGAUGAAGACACAUAUUAUGUAGAAUGCUUAUUAACCCAUAUACUCUUACUUAAAAAUAUUUAUAAGUGUCUAGGUCAUUCUUUGUAAGGAAUGACCUAGGUUCUUCUUUGUAAAGAAUAGAUGUACAUCAUUCUUUGCACAGAAUGGACCUAGGUCUUUCUUUUUUUAAUCAUUCCUUUAGCGUCUUGUCAAAGACUUGCCCUUUAGGCGUUUUACUUAGAAAUAUUUUCUAAGUGGUUAGGUCAUUCUUUGUAGGGAAUGAACAUAGGAUGUUCUUUAAUAUUUUCUAAGUAGUUAGGUCAUUCUUUGUAAGGAAUGAAUCUAGGUUGUUCUUUAUAAAAAGUGGACCUAGGUCAUUCAUUGUGAAGAAUGGACUUAGGUCAUUCUUUUAGGAAUUAUGCUAUAGGUGCUUUCUUGAAAACUCGCACUUUGGGCAUUUUACUUAGAAAUAUCCCCAAGUUCUUAGCUUAAUUCCCUACAAAGAAUGACAUAGGUCAUUCUUUGAAGAAUCAAAGCUUUGGUUCUUUAUCGAAGACUUGCUCUUUAGGCGUUUUACUUAGAAAUAUUUUUUAAGUUACUAAGUCAUUCUUUAAGGAAUGGACCUACGUCAAUCUUUGUAAGAAUAGACCUAGGCCACUCUUUGUACUUUGAAUUCUAAGUACUUAGGCUAUUUGAUCUAACGAGCCUUGUGUGGCAUGUGAUGUGUAAUUGAUUAACUUGAUAUUUUGAUGCAAUUUACUAAUUUCAAAACAUGGUUAAAUAACAUAUAAUAUUUUAUUUAUCAUUUAUCAUUAUAUUAAAUAGUAAUUUAAAUUAAUAUUAUUCUAAUUCAUUCAUAUAUCGUAUUUACUUCACAAUACAAGACAAGACUCUACUGAAUAUAAUUUAAUCCAAUUCCUUAUUAUCAAAUCUAAAUUAAAUUCAAUCUGAUAUACCCAAAAGUUCAUAAUGGCACUAAAUUUUACCAUCUCUAAACACUCGUAAUUGAUAGCAAAUAGCGGUAGACGGAGACCCGCCAUUAUUGCCUCCAUAGAGGCUGCAUAUUGGUAGGUCACUUCCUAUAAGUAAAAAAAUCACCCUGACUCCACUCUAGUUUAGUCCAAACACCCAUCAUAUACAUACACCAUAAGGACGAAAGUCAAGGGCGGCGAGCUUAUUCGAGAAAGU
Molecule: long non-coding RNA, 6482 nt
Filed under: Citrus x clementina
Lineage: Eukaryota; Viridiplantae; Streptophyta; Magnoliopsida; Sapindales; Rutaceae
Description: Citrus clementina (C. clementina) long non-coding RNA (CCLE_LNC001499)
Source: RNAcentral